Molecule: long non-coding RNA, 385 nt
Organism: Oncorhynchus keta (chum salmon)
Lineage: Eukaryota; Metazoa; Chordata; Actinopteri; Salmoniformes; Salmonidae
Exons: 3
Source: RefSeq, a predicted model, not a curated record
AGUGCACCACUUUUAGCCAGAGCCCUAGGUGAAGUAGUGCACUACUUUUAGCCAGAGCCCUAGGUGAAGUAGUGCACUACUUUUAGCCAGAGCCCUAGGUGAAGUAGUGCACUACUUUUAGCCAGAGCCCUAGGUGAAGUAGUGCACUACUUUUAGCCAGAGCCCUAGGUGAAGUAGUGCACUACUUUUAGCCAGAGCCCUAGGUGAGGUAGUGCACUACUUUUAGCCAGAGCCCUAGGUGAGGUAGUGCACUACUUUUAGCCAGAGCCCUAGGUGAAGUAGUGCAGUGUAAAGACAAAGGUACCAUUUCAGAUGCAGCCAGAGAGACAAGCUCAGAAUACAUCCUCCCAGAUUCAGAGCCAUAACCACCCCAAGACAACACGCC